CCUACGGGAUGCAGCAGUGAGGAAUAUUGGUCAAUGGGCGGAAGCCUGAACCAGCCAAGUAGCGUGCAGGAUGACGGCCCUACGGGUUGUAAACUGCUUUUAUACGGGAAUAACGCGUCUUACGUGUAGGGCUUUUCAUUUACCUUAUGCAUAAGGACCGGCUAAUUCCGUUCCAGCAGCCGCGGUAAUACGGAAGGUCCGGUGGUUAUCGGGAUUUAUUUUGUUUAAAGGGAGCGUAGGCCGCAUGUCAAGCGUGCUGUGAAAUGUCCGGGCUCAACCCGGGCCUUGCAGCGCGAACUGGCGUGCUUGAGUCCGCGGAAAGCAGGAGGAAUUCGUCGUGUAGCGGUGAAAUGCUUAGAUAUGACGAAGAACCCCGAUUGCGAAGGCAGCUUGCUGCAGCGGAACUGACGCUGAUGCUCGAAAGCGCGGGUAUCGAACAGGAUUAGAUACCCCAGUAGC
This 459-nucleotide ribosomal RNA is filed under the name uncultured bacterium. RNAcentral describes it as "partial 16S ribosomal RNA". It matches the Rfam family "Bacterial small subunit ribosomal RNA", at positions 338 to 794 of the family's 1533-position model. The record is from RNAcentral.